This is an RNA transcript of Rhododendron vialii, 2816 nucleotides long. It is a transcript of the gene named transcription initiation factor TFIID subunit 15b, with no coding region annotated. The transcript is spliced from 7 exons. The record is from RefSeq and is a predicted model, not a curated record. Lineage: Eukaryota; Viridiplantae; Streptophyta; Magnoliopsida; Ericales; Ericaceae.
GUAACACUUCUCUCAUAUCUCCAGCUCACGAUAUUUCUCUCGUUGUGAAAAGAACGCAGCCCAGGAAAACCCUAGAAGAACAUGUCGGGUACUUACGGCCACGAAGGCGACGGAUCCGCCGGCGGAGGCUACGGUGGUAGCGGCGGCGGGAACUACGGAGGCGGUGGAGGUUACGGAGGAAGAGGCGGUGGGGGUUACGGAGGCAGCGGUGGCGGCGCAGAGUAUGGAGGUAGCGGCGGAGGCGGUGGUUACGGAGGUAGUGGUGGCGGAGGAGGAGGAUAUGGAGCCGGCGGCGGAGGUUAUGGUGGAGGCGGCGGCGGGAGUCGAGGCGCCGGCGGUGGAUAUGGCGGUAAUUCACAGAAUCGAGGGGGUGGAGGGUAUCAAGGAGGAGAUCGCGGCGGUGGUGGUCGAGGUGGUGGCCGUGGCGGCGGAAGUGGAAGGGAUGGUGACUGGCGUUGCCCCAAUCCCGGCUGUGGGAAUCUGAACUUUGCAAGAAGAGGUGAGUGCAACAAAUGUGGUGCGCUUGCUCCUUCUGGUGCCGGAGAUCAUGGUGGGAGUGCUGGUGGUACUUACAGAGGGGGAAGCGGUGGGGGACAAGGCGGCAGAGGCAGUGGUUAUGAUGGUGGAAGUGGUGGAGGUAGCAGAGGUGGUUCUUAUGGCAAUAAUCAAGGGAGAGAUGAUGGUGGGUACGGACAGGUCCCUCCAGUUGCGCCCCCCUCUUAUGGUGGGCCGGGUGGCAAUUACCCACCACCUAGCGAUAAUUACGGGAAUCCUAGUUAUGGAACGGAUGCAGUUCCUCCACCUACGAGCUAUACUGGUGGACCUAAUUCGUAUCCCCCAUCAUAUGGUGCUCCUGGUGGUUAUGGCGGCGAUGCUAUGGGUGGUGCCCGCAAUGGUGGACGUGGUGGCAGAUCAGGUGGAUAUGACGGUGGCAGGUCUGGUGGAUAUGAUGGUGGCAGGUCUGGUGGAUAUGAUGGUGGGUACGGUGGUAAUCCAAGAAAUGCUGGAGGUGGAUAUGGUGCUGCUCCUGCCGAGGCUCCUCCUGGGGAGGUGAAGCAAUGUGAUGCGAAUUGCGGGGAUUCUUGUGACAAUGCGAGAAUUUACAUCUCAAAUCUACCGCCAGAUGUUACUGUUGAUGAAUUGCAAGAACUUUUUGGAGGCAUUGGACAAGUUGGAAGAAUUAAGCAAAAGAGAGGCUAUAAGGACCAGUGGCCCUGGAAUAUUAAAAUCUACACGGAUGAGCAAGGAAAAAACAAAGGAGAUGCCGCUUUGGCAUAUGAAGAUCCAUCUGCAGCACAUAGUGCUGGCAGUUUCUAUAAUGGUCAUGAGUUGAGGGGUUAUAAGAUAAGUGUUGUAAUGGCUGAGAAGUCAGCUCCUAGGCCCCCUCCUGCAUUUGGCUCAGGGGGUGGUGGUAGAGGUCGAGGUGGAGGUGGAUAUGGGGGUGGUGGAGACAGACGCAGAGACAAUAACAGAGAUGGCGGAGGUUCUGGUCCAGAUAGAAAUUAUCAUGGUGGAAACCGCUCUCGCCCAUACUGAAGUUCAGAGGAGCAAUUUAUGUACUAAAAAUUGUGGUUGAAAUGCUUUAUUAUAUUCUGUUCGCGGGGUUUGUUCUGAUACUGGAGACAAAGAGAGGCAAGUGGAUGUUCUCCAAAUUGCUGCUAACUGCUAAGGUAGGUUGACAUUUUCAGGUGAGUGUUGCUGCAUCUAAAUUGCAUAUCUAUGCUCGUUGGGACUCUCAGCAGCACAUUUGUUUAUUUAUGGCCCACAAACUUGCAUCUUCUCCCUGUGGGGUUGGUUAAAAAGAAAUCAUACUUCAACGUACUGCUUAUCACUUCAUUCCAACACCACCAGGGGAAUGAUGAAUACUAACUUUUCUGAUUUCUAGACUUGUAGUUUAUGGCGUAUCAUAGUUUCUUUCUUGUCGCAAGAUGUAUUCUGCAUCUAAGCUAUUGUAUCUGAUGUGGUUCAUGCCUAUUCUCCUCUUUACCUUGGCUCCUUUCUGAGAAUUAGAAACUUGUAACCAUGGGUGGUUCAAAAGAAUUACAGCGAGGUGAACUCAUUGUCCGACGGGUUUGUUUGAUUUGGUGAAGGAUGGUGUUUCGGUAAAUUUAGGGAAUUUAAAGGAGGGGUUUUCUUUACUUUUGCCUACUGUUUAUUUAGGCGUAGAAAGUGCAUAUCGGCCCUUGUGUGCUUGUGCUCUGAGGUGUUUUAGCCAACUUGUGAUCUUAAGCUCUUGCUUCAAUUCUUCUCUUCCAAAGGGUUGUGUGUAAUGACUUCCCAAAUUUCUUAUGCUUUUCUUCUGAAGCCAUCACAAAGGUGCCUGCCACUUUGGAUGGGAUUUCCUUUCCUUCAUCUUUUUCACUGCAGUUUCUAUUGCCAUUUUUCGGCGGACUAUUUUGUAUUAAGAUGGUUAUUUGUGGUGGGUGGUCGACUUGGUAAACCGUCCCCAUUCGUAGAGCUUUUUAUGUUUAAUACAUAAUUAUUAUGAGUUACUACUUGCACAUUUAUCUCGAGACAACUAAUUUCUUAGGGAUUGUGAUUCUCACCCCUCUUAAGGUCAACUUGUUUCUAUGAUGGCUUUGGAUUGCCUUAUAGGAUGUUUUAGCAACUUUCCAGCUAUGGCAAUGCCUGUAGUUUUGUGCGGCAAAAUUUAUAUUCUAUGCCUGUAGUUUUGUGCGGCAACUUUCCAGCUAUGGCAAUGCCUGUAGUUUUGUGCCAACUUUAACGCUUGGCAAUUGAUAAUGGUUGGUUAAAGUUCUUAAUGUGAUUUUUUUUGUGGGUCUUUUAUGAAUGUUAUCACCAUAAUGGAUUCCUCU